Long non-coding RNA from Venturia canescens, 2184 nucleotides. RefSeq lists it as uncharacterized. The transcript is spliced from 2 exons. NCBI's taxonomy places the organism in Eukaryota, Metazoa, Arthropoda, Insecta, Hymenoptera, Ichneumonidae. The record is from RefSeq and is a predicted model, not a curated record.
UCGCGACGAUAACAUCGAAGUUUGCGUUUUUAACUCAGUUCCAAUUUUUUCCCUCGCCACUGAAUGGUGACGAUCGGGUAAUUACUCGUGUACCUCCAAUCCAAACGUUCUCUCGAAACCAUGCACCGGUGCAUAUUCACGGUGUAUAAAAGAUAAGCAAAAAUCGUCACCCGUACAUCCUUCUUAUCUCGAUGGCACGUAAGUUUCAUUUGUUGUAUUUAUGCAUUUCAGCUCUAAAAAAAAACGGACUUAUGGGAAUGUAGGAUUCCAGGUGGAUUCCGAGGUCGAAACGAAACUGCGGAAACUUCCGUUGAGCAGAUACUUCAAAUUUAUUGUGCGCUAUUCAUUUUAUUAAUCAAUACAAAUACUUGCUAUCCUAACGGAAAUCCAAUAGUUAUUUGGCAAUGUUACAACUUUUUUGAUCUGCAUAAUUUUAUGUCGAGUGGAAUACCAGUCCCGAAGAUUCCGUCCAACACAUUUCUUUUGUAAAUUUUCUUUGUUAUACAAAAAUACAAAAUUCUGGUUAAAAAAGUGUUUGUAUUUCACUCCGAACCUUGUUAUUUAGGUGGUCACUUUUUUUUUGUUGUACCACACAUUCGAGGAGACAGUUCUACGACUUAUUUCAACGCUAUUGUGUGGAUUUCUCCGCCGGCUUGGUAGAAACGAUUUGGCAACGUUGUACAAAUUCCAAACAGUCGACAGGUGACGGUUCCGGCUAUUUCAGCCGAUGCGCGAAUCUGGUUUUGACAGCUUUGGUUAACAAUGGGUCGGAGUAAUUUUCUACUUCGAGUACUUCAAACUUUUUAUUCGUUUUUUAAAGGGAACACAGAAACGCUGAAACCUGUGAUAUCCCGAAAUAUUUUGGGAUACUAUGCAUGGGAAGUUUUUACGAGUUCGGAGAGCUGAAGCGUGGUGGCGCUGAAGUUUGCAACGUUGAGGUUCAACGAGAUAAACGAAAAAAACAUUUGUAGAUUUUACGCGCGCAUAUUAAUUAUAAUAAUGAGCUUACGAUACCGACUUUACUAUGAAAAUUUGCUAUCGAUUGGAACUCUCAACGUGGUAGAACUAUUUUUAGUAAGGUGGAAAUAAGCAUGAGCAGCGUGUAAACAAACAUAUUACUAUGCGGAAUCACAACCGCUUAAGAGAGGUUAUUGCAGACUGGAUACAUACUCGAAGGCUUUCGUGAACGUGACUAUUUUUUUUUUGCCGAGCUCGUUAUCAGUAAGGUUGAAUUCAUUUCGAUUUUUUUCUCACUUCUACAGUUUAUUCAAACAAAGAUGUUAUAUGUGAUGACAUUGAAACGAACGACGCAAACGAACGAUUCUGACACGUCGAGCUCUAACUACGUCAGCGUUAUAUACACCAGCUUGAGGCUUGAGAUAAAAUGUAAACAGGUUUCUUCACAAGUUUUUCGAGAACGAUCUCUCUUGCGUGAAACUUUUUGAAAACACAUUUUUCAAGAAAUAAACAUUGAGUUUACAUAACCGAUAUCGUACAAGAUACGUUGUACCAUGUACCAAUUUCCCAACGAGUUUCUCGACUCCGCGAUGAACGUUUAAAAAUGAAGAACCAAAAAUUUUUCAUGAAAAUACUAUGUGCGAAAUAUUAAUCCAGCAAAUUUUCUAUUCCCGUAUUGGAUUUCGUAAAAAAAAAAGAAAAUUCUUUUUCUGUCUGCGUAACAAUCGUCGUGUAGAAUAUUUCGGGCCUGAAUAGAAGUGUCGAUGUCAUUUUUGGUAUGCGGUGAUAAAUAUUACCAACCUGUGUAUAUUUUUUACAGCUUUCAGGUUAGGUUCGUAGUUUGACGGUUGACGAAGCGAAAACACUUCGUAUAUACUUGGGCGUGUUGGGCAUCUGAAAGUGAUUUCAGCGAGUCUCUUACGUGCUUCACGAGCGUGACUUCGUGCUGGUUUCUUGAAGUCACCUUCUGUCUUCCAUAAACAUAUGGACGCGGACAAAGACACGCGAAGUCUCUACUCGACAGAGAAAAAAAGGAGCGAGCAACGGAGGAAACGAAGAGCCUGGCUUUCACUUCCCUGUUGUGUGGGUAUAUUCACGCAUGUGCGUAGAAGAGUUCAGCUAACCGAUAUUUUUAUUGGCCUUGGAUAAAUUGUUCCGAAAAAUGAUUGCGACUAUUCAAUUGACAAGUGUAUUGAUAGAUAAAUAAACAAUCAAAAUUUUCUUUCA